Molecule: ribosomal RNA, 497 nt
Filed under: uncultured bacterium
Lineage: Bacteria
Description: partial 16S ribosomal RNA
Rfam family: Bacterial small subunit ribosomal RNA
Source: RNAcentral
GAUGAACGCUGGCGGCGUGCCUAAUACAUGCAAGUCGAGCGAACAGACGAGGAGCUUGCUCCUCUGACGUUAGCGGCGGACGGGUGAGUAACACGUGGAUAACCUACCUAUAAGACUGGGAUAACUUCGGGAAACCGGAGCUAAUACCGGAUAAUAUAUUGAACCGCAUGGUUCAAUAGUGAAAGACGGUUUUGUUGUCACUUAUAGAUGGAUCCGCGCCUCAUUAGCUAGUUGGUAAGGUAACGGCUUACCAAGGCAACGAUGCGUAGCCGACCUGAGAGGGUGAUCGGCCACACUGGAACUGAGACACGGUCCAGACUCCUACGGGAGGCAGCAGUAGGGAAUCUUCCGCAAUGGGCGAAAGCCUGACGGAGCAACGCCGCGUGAGUGAUGAAGGUCUUCGGAUCGUAAAACUCUGUUAUUAGGGAAGAACAAAUGUGUAAGUAACUAUGCACGUCUUGACGGUACCUAAUCAGAAAGCCACGGCUAACUACGUG